GAUCAUGGCUCAGGAUGAACGCUGGCGGCGUGCCUAACACAUGCAAGUCGAACGGAGAUUACAGACGUAAGUUUUCGGAUGGAAGUUUGUAAUUCUUAGUGGCGGACGGGUGAGUAACGCGUGGGCAACCUGCCCUAUACAGGGGGAUAGCAGCUGGAAACGGCUGGUAAGACCGCAUAAGUCGGCGGAACCGCAUGGUUUUGUCGGGAAAUGAGCAAUCAGGUAUAGGAUGGGCCCGCGUCCGAUUAG
Molecule: ribosomal RNA, 249 nt
Filed under: uncultured bacterium
Lineage: Bacteria
Description: partial 16S ribosomal RNA
Rfam family: Bacterial small subunit ribosomal RNA
Source: RNAcentral